UACGAAGGGGGCUAGCGUUGCUCGGAAUCACUGGGCGUAAAGGGUGCGUAGGCGGGUCUUUAAGUCAGGGGUGAAAUCCUGGAGCUCAACUCCAGAACUGCCUUUGAUACUGAAGAUCUUGAGUUCGGGAGAGGUGAGUGGAACUGCGAGUGUAGAGGUGAAAUUCGUAGAUAUUCGGCGGAACACCAGUGGCGAAGGCGACUCACUGGCCCGAUACUGACGCUGAGGCGCGAAAGCGUGGGGAGCAAACAGG
RNAcentral lists this ribosomal RNA (253 nucleotides) under uncultured bacterium. RNAcentral's name for it is "partial 16S ribosomal RNA". It matches the Rfam family "Bacterial small subunit ribosomal RNA", at positions 524 to 776 of the family's 1533-position model. The record is from RNAcentral.